Molecule: long non-coding RNA, 202 nt
Filed under: Elaeis guineensis (African oil palm)
Lineage: Eukaryota; Viridiplantae; Streptophyta; Magnoliopsida; Arecales; Arecaceae
Description: long non-coding RNA (EGUI_LNC055137)
Source: RNAcentral
GGUGGGGGCAUGGACUUACAUAAUAUUUAUUAAUGCAGAAAUAUAGACAGCUCAUGGAUGGAUAGUCACUCAAGGUUUCUAGUUGUAGAUUAUGAUGUCCGUAUAAUGCACAUGAGUUGUAGAUUAGAUAUGUUGCAAUGGAAAUGAGAAGCAAACUAGAAAGUAUGAAGCUGAACUGAAAAUGGGCUAUUAUGUGUAGAAA